ACUAUUAGUUAAUGAGCUUGAAAUAAGCUUAU
RNAcentral lists this transfer RNA (32 nucleotides) under Ablabesmyia sp. 2 MEC-2013. Its description in RNAcentral is "partial tRNA-Ser". Lineage: Eukaryota; Metazoa; Arthropoda; Insecta; Diptera; Chironomidae. The record is from RNAcentral.